Molecule: ribosomal RNA, 464 nt
Filed under: uncultured bacterium
Lineage: Bacteria
Description: partial 16S ribosomal RNA
Rfam family: Bacterial small subunit ribosomal RNA
Source: RNAcentral
CCUACGGGAGGCAGCAGUAGGGAAUUUUCGUCAAUGGGCGCAAGCCUGAACGAGCAAUGCCGCGUGAACGAGGAAGGUCUUCGGAUUGUAAAGUUCUGUUGAAGGGGAAAAAGAGCGGAGAGAGGAAAUGGUCUCCGAUUGAUAUUACCCUUCGAGGAAGUCACGGCUAACUACGUGCCAGCAGCCGCGGUAAUACGUAGGUGGCGAGCGUUAUCCGGAAUGAUUGGGCGGAAAGGGUGCGUAGGCGGCCUGCUAAGUCUGGAGUGAAAGGUACCGGCUCAACCGGUACAGGCUCUGGAAACUGGCGGGCUAGAGAGCAGGAGAGGGCGGUGGAACUCCAUGUGUAGCGGUAAAAUGCGUAGAUAUAUGGAAGAACACCAGUGGCGAAGGCGGCCGCCUGGCCUGUUACUGACUCUGAGGCACGAAAGCGUGGGGAGCAAAUAGGAUUAGAUACCCGGGUAGUC